Molecule: ribosomal RNA, 460 nt
Filed under: uncultured bacterium
Lineage: Bacteria
Description: partial 16S ribosomal RNA
Rfam family: Bacterial small subunit ribosomal RNA
Source: RNAcentral
CCUACGGGUGGCAGCAGUGAGGAAUAUUGGUCAAUGGACGAGAGUCUGAACCAGCCAAGUAGCGUGAAGGAUGACUGCCCUAUGGGUUGUAAACUUCUUUUAUAUGGGAAUAAAAUGUUCCACGUGUGGGAUUUUGUAUGUACCAUAUGAAUAAGGAUCGGCUAACUCCGUGCCAGCAGCCGCGGUAAUACGGAGGAUCCGAGCGUUAUCCGGAUUUAUUGGGUUUAAAGGGAGCGUAGGUGGAUUGUUAAGUCAGUUGUGAAAGUUUGCGGCUCAACCGUAAGAUUGCAGUUGAAACUGGCAGUCUUGAGUACAGUAGAGGUGGGCGGAAUUCGUGGUGUAGCGGUGAAAUGCUUAGAUAUCACGAAGAACUCCGAUUGCGAAGGCAGUUCACUGGACUGCAACUGACACUGAGGCUCGAAAGUGUGGGUAUCAAACAGGAUUAGAUACCCGUGUAGUC